This 465-nucleotide ribosomal RNA is filed under the name uncultured Klebsiella sp. RNAcentral's name for it is "bacterial SSU rRNA". It matches the Rfam family "Bacterial small subunit ribosomal RNA", at positions 338 to 795 of the family's 1533-position model. Lineage: Bacteria; Pseudomonadati; Pseudomonadota; Gammaproteobacteria; Enterobacterales; Enterobacteriaceae. The record is from RNAcentral.
CCUACGGGAGGCUGCAGUGGGGAAUAUUGCACAAUGGGCGCAAGCCUGAUGCAGCCAUGCCGCGUGUGUGAAGAAGGCCUUCGGGUUGUAAAGCACUUUCAGCGGGGAGGAAGGCGGUGAGGUUAAUAACCUCAUCGAUUGACGUUACCCGCAGAAGAAGCACCGGCUAACUCCGUGCCAGCAGCCGCGGUGAUACGGAGGGUGCAAGCGUUAAUCGGAAUUACUGGGCGUAAAGCGCACGCAGGCGGUCUGCCAAGUCGGAUGUGAAAUCCCCGGGCUCAACCUGGGAACUGCAUUCGAAACUGGCAGGCUAGAGUCUUGUAGAGGGGGGUAGAAUUCCAGGUGUAGCGGUGAAAUGCGUAGAGAUCUGGAGGAAUACCGGUGGCGGAGGCGGCCCCCUGGACAAAGACUGACGCUCAGGUGCGAAAGCGUGGGGAGCAAACAGGAUUAGAUACCCCUGUAGUC